AGGCAGCAGUGGGGAAUAUUGCACAAUGGGGAAACCCUGAUGCAGNCAUGCCGCGUGUGUGAAGAAGGCCNUNGGGUUGUAAAGCACNUUCAGCGAGGAGGAAAGGUUGGCGCCUAAUAAGGGUCAACUGUGACGUUANUCGCAGAAGAAGCACCGGCUAANUCCGUGNCAGCAGCCGCGGUAAUACGGAGGGUGCAAGCGUUAAUCGGAAUUACUGGGCGUAAAGCGCACGCAGGCGGUUGGAUAAGUUAGAUGUGAAAGCCCCGGGCUCAACCUGGGAAUUGCAUUUAAAACUGUCCAGCUAGAGUCUUGUAGAGGGGGGUAGAAUUCCAGGUG
This 336-nucleotide ribosomal RNA is filed under the name uncultured bacterium. RNAcentral describes it as "partial 16S rRNA". It matches the Rfam family "Bacterial small subunit ribosomal RNA", at positions 346 to 675 of the family's 1533-position model. The record is from RNAcentral.